This 253-nucleotide ribosomal RNA is filed under the name uncultured bacterium. RNAcentral describes it as "partial 16S ribosomal RNA". It matches the Rfam family "Bacterial small subunit ribosomal RNA", at positions 524 to 776 of the family's 1533-position model. The record is from RNAcentral.
UACGUAGGGUGCAAGCGUUGUCCGGAAUUAUUGGGCGUAAAGAGCUCGUAGGCGGUUUGUCGCGUCUGCUGUGAAAACCCGAGACUCAACCUCGGGCCUGCAGUGGGUACGGGCAGACUAGAGUGCGGUAGGGGAGAUUGGAAUUCCUGGUGUAGCGGUGGAAUGCGCAGAUAUCAGGAGGAACACCAAUGGCGAAGGCAGAUCUCUGGGCCGUAACUGACGCUGAGGAGCGAAAGCAUGGGGAGCGAACAGG